Molecule: ribosomal RNA, 253 nt
Filed under: uncultured bacterium
Lineage: Bacteria
Description: partial 16S ribosomal RNA
Rfam family: Bacterial small subunit ribosomal RNA
Source: RNAcentral
GACGGGGGAUGCAAGUGUUAUCCGGAAUAACUGGGCGUAAAGCGUCUGCAGGUGGUUUCCUAAGUCCACUGUUAAACCUUGAGGCUCAACCUCAAAUCUGCAUUGGAAACUAGGAGACUUGAGUAUAGUAGGGGUAGAGGGAAUUUCCAGUGGAGCGGUGAAAUGCGUAGAUAUUGGAAAGAACACCGAUGGCGAAGGCACUCUACUGGGCUAUUACUGACACUCAGAGACGAAAGCUAGGGGAGCAAAUGGG